CGAAAACGAAUUCUCUCUUGAGUGGAUCCUGAGUACGACGGAGCACGUGAAAUUCCGUCGGAAUCUGGGAGGACCAUCUCCUAAGGCUAAAUACUCUCUAGUGACCGAUAGUGAACCAGUACCGUGAGGGAAAGGUGAAAAGUACCCCGGAAGGGGAGUGAAAGAGAACUUGAAACCGUGUGCUUACAAGUAGUCAGAGCCCGUUAAUGGGUGAUGGCGUGCCUUUUGUAGAAUGAACCGGCGAGUUACGAUCUGAUGCAAGGUUAAGCAGAAAAUGUGGAGCCGUAGCGAAAGCGAGUCUGAAUAGGGCGAAUGAGUAUUUGGUCGUAGACCCGAAACCAGGUGAUCUACCCUUGGUCAGGUUGAAGUUCAGGUAACACUGAAUGGAGGACCGAACCGACUUACGUUGAA
This 411-nucleotide ribosomal RNA is filed under the name Staphylococcus pseudintermedius. RNAcentral's name for it is "partial 23S ribosomal RNA". It matches the Rfam family "Bacterial large subunit ribosomal RNA", at positions 380 to 793 of the family's 2925-position model. Lineage: Bacteria; Bacillati; Bacillota; Bacilli; Caryophanales; Staphylococcaceae. The record is from RNAcentral.